CGCCGUCUAAUCUCACUGCCACGUUCUUCACCAUCCCAAAGAUGGAACCGUUUACAGCCUUACAGUAUAAUAAAUGAUAGAUUUGUCCUGUUCAGUAUACAGACCACCAACCUAUUCCACUAUACAGACCACCAACCUAUUCCACUAUACAGACCACCAACCUAUUCCACUAUACAGACCAUCAACCUAUUCCACUAUACAGACCACCAACCUAUUCCACUAUACAGACCACCAACCUAUUCCACUAUACAGACCACCAACCUAUUCCACUAUACAGACCACCAACCUAUUCCACUAUACAGACCACCAACCUAUUCCACUAUACAGACCACCAACCUAUUCCACUAUACAGACCACCAACCUAUUCCACUAUACAGACCACCAACCUAUUCCACUAUACAGACCACCAACCUAUUCCACUAUACAGACCAUCAACCUAUUCCACUAUACAGACCAUCAACCUAUUCCACUAUACAGACCAUCAACCUAUUCCACUAUACAGACCACCAACCUAUUCCACUAUACAGACCAUUAACCUAUUCCACUAUACAGACCACCAACCUAUUCCACUAUACAGACCAUCAACCUAUUCCACUAUACAGACCAUCAACCUAUUCCACUAUACAGACCAUCAACCUAUUCCACUAUACAGACCACCAACCUAUUCCACUAUACAGACCAUCAACCUAUUCCACUAUACAGACCACCAACCUAUUCCACUAUACAGACCAUCAACCUAUUCCACUAUACAGACCACCAAACGAUUCCACUAUACAGACCAUCAACCUAUUCCACUAUACAGACCAUCAACCUAUUCCACUAUACAGACCACCAACCUAUUCCACUAUACAGACCACCAACCUAUUCCACUAUACAGACCACCAAACGAUUCCACUAUACAGACCAUCAACCUAUUCCACUAUACAGACCAUCAACCUAUUCCACUAUACAGACCACCAACCUAUUCCACUAUACAGACCACCAACCUAUUCCACUAUACAGACCAUCAACCUAUUCCACUAUACAGACCAUCAACCUAUUCCACUAUACAGACCACCAACCUAUUCCACUAUACAGACCACCAACCUAUUCCACUAUACAGACCACCAACCUAUUCCACUAUACAGACCAUCAACCUAUUCCACUAUACAGACCAUCAACCUAUUCCACUAUACAGACCACCAACCUAUUCCACUAUACAGACCACCAACCUAUUCCACUAUACAGACCACCAACCUAUUCCACUAUACAGACCACCAACCUAUUCCACUAUACAGACCAACCUAUUCCACUAUACAGACCACCAACCUAUUCCACUAUACAGACCAUCAACCUAUUCCACUAUACAGACCAUCAACCUAUUCCACUAUACAGACCAUCAACCUAUUCCACUAUACAGACCAUCAACCUAUUCCACUAUACAGACCAUCAACCUAUUCCACUAUACAGACCAACCUAUUCCACUAUACAGACCACCAACCUAUUCCACUAUACAGACCACCAACCUAUUCCACUAUACAGACCACCAACCUAUUCCACUAUACAGACCAUCAACCUAUUCCACUAUACAGACCAUCAACCUAUUCCACUAUACAGACCAUCAACCUAUUCCACUAUAAAGGGAAUUCAUUACUCUUCUGA
Oncorhynchus kisutch (coho salmon) is the source of this 1641-nucleotide long non-coding RNA. Lineage: Eukaryota; Metazoa; Chordata; Actinopteri; Salmoniformes; Salmonidae. The record is from Ensembl.